This 244-nucleotide unclassified non-coding RNA is filed under the name air metagenome. RNAcentral's name for it is "partial contains small subunit ribosomal RNA, internal transcribed spacer 1, and 5.8S ribosomal RNA". The stretch from base 1 to 46 matches the Rfam family "Eukaryotic small subunit ribosomal RNA", at positions 1786 to 1831 of the family's 1831-position model. The record is from RNAcentral.
AAGUCGUAACAAGGUUUCCGUAGGUGAACCUGCGGAAGGAUCAUUACAGAGUACCGGUGCCCUCUGGGCGCCUACUCCAACCCUUUGUCUACCCGACCCGUUGCUUUGGCAGGCCGGUGCCCCCAGGCGCCGCCGGCUCACGCUGGAGAGUGCCUGCCAGAGGCCAAUUUAAACACCGCUCACAGUGACCUCUGAGUAUCAAACAAAUGAAUCAAAACUUUCAACAACGGAUCUCUUGGUUCUG